RNAcentral lists this ribosomal RNA (256 nucleotides) under uncultured bacterium. RNAcentral describes it as "partial 16S ribosomal RNA". It matches the Rfam family "Bacterial small subunit ribosomal RNA", at positions 521 to 776 of the family's 1533-position model. The record is from RNAcentral.
UAAUACGUAGGGUGCAAGCGUUAAUCGGAAUUACUGGGCGUAAAGGGUGCGCAGGCGGUUUGUUAAGUCUGACGUGAAAUACCUGGGCUCAACCUGGGAAUGGCGUUGGAGACUGGCAAGCUAGAGUGUGUCAGAGGGGGGUAGAAUUCCACGUGUAGCAGUGAAAUGCGUAGAGAUGUGGAGGAACACCGAUGGCGAAGGCAGCCCCCUGGGAUAACACUGACGCUCAGGCACGAAAGCGUGGGGAGCAAACAGG